CUAACAUGCAGUCGAGCGGACUUUAAAAGCUUGCUUUUAAAGUUAGCGGCGGACGGGUGAGUAACACGUGGGCAACCUGCCUGUAAGACUGGGAUAACUUCGGGAAACCGGAGCUAAUACCGGAUAAUCCUUUUCCUCUCAUGAGGAAAAGCUGAAAGACGGUUUACGCUGUCACUUACAGAUGGGCCCGCGGCGCAUUAGCUAGUUGGUGAGGUAACGGCUCACCAAGGCGACGAUGCGUAGCCGACCUGAGAGGGUGAUCGGCCACACUGGGACUGAGACACGGCCCAGACUCCUACGGGAGGCAGCAGUAGGGAAUCUUCCGCAAUGGACGAAAGUCUGACGGAGCAACGCCGCGUGAGUGAUGAAGGUUUUCGGAUCGUAAAACUCUGUUGUUAGGGAAGAACAAGUACAAGAGUAACUGCUUGUACCUUGACGGUACCUAACCAGAAAGCCACGGCUAACUACGUGCCAGCAGCCGCGGUAAUACGUAGGUGGCAAGCGUUGUCCGGAAUUAUUGGGCGUAAAGCGCGCGCAGGCGGUCCUUUAAGUCUGAUGUGAAAGCCCACGGCUCAACCGUGGAGGGUCAUUGGAAACUGGGGGACUUGAGUGCAGAAGAGAAGAGUGGAAUUCCACGUGUAGCGGUGAAAUGCGUAGAGAUGUGGAGGAACACCAGUGGCGAAGGCGACUCUUUGGUCUGUAACUGACGCUGAGGCGCGAAAGCG
Molecule: ribosomal RNA, 725 nt
Filed under: Niallia circulans
Lineage: Bacteria; Bacillati; Bacillota; Bacilli; Caryophanales; Bacillaceae
Description: bacterial SSU rRNA
Rfam family: Bacterial small subunit ribosomal RNA
Source: RNAcentral